RNAcentral lists this transfer RNA (91 nucleotides) under Hyphomicrobium sp. ghe19. Its description in RNAcentral is "tRNA-Ser". Lineage: Bacteria; Pseudomonadati; Pseudomonadota; Alphaproteobacteria; Hyphomicrobiales; Hyphomicrobiaceae. The record is from RNAcentral.
GGUCUGCUGGGCGACGCGGAAUUUUUUACUUGGCUCGAGACCAACUGGCAGAGCGUGUUCGGCAACAACGGUCCGGCUCUGACGCAGGCCA